RNAcentral lists this ribosomal RNA (434 nucleotides) under uncultured bacterium. RNAcentral describes it as "partial 16S ribosomal RNA". It matches the Rfam family "Bacterial small subunit ribosomal RNA", at positions 29 to 507 of the family's 1533-position model. The record is from RNAcentral.
AGCGAACGCUGGCGGCAGGCCUAACACAUGCAAGUCGAACGAACCUUUCGGGGUUAGUGGCGGACGGGUGAGUAACACGUGGGAACGUGCCUUUAGGUUCGGAAUAACUCAGGGUAACAUGUGCUAAUACCGAAUGUGCCCUUCCGGGGAAAGAUUUAUCGCCUUUAGAGCGGCCGGCGUCUGAUUAGCUAGUUGGUUGAGGUAAUGGCUCACCAAGGCGACGAUCAGUAGCUGGUCGGUGAGGAGGAUCAGCCACAUUGGGGAUGCGACACGGCCCAAAAUCGUACGGAGGGGAGCAGUGGGGAAUCUUGCGCAAUGGGCGAAAGCCUGACGCAGCCAUGCCGCGUAAAUGAUGAAGGUCUUAGGAUUGUAAAAUUCUUUCAGCGGGGACGAUAAUGACGGUACCCGGAGAAGAAGCCCCGGCUAACUUCGUG